CCUACGGGAGGCAGCAGUGAGGAAUAUUGGUCAAUGGACGAGAGUCUGAACCAGCCAAGUAGCGUGAAGGAUGACUGCCCUAUGGGUUGUAAACUUCUUUUAUAUGGGAAUAAAACGUUCCACGUGUGGGAUUUUGUAUGUACCAUAUGAAUAAGGAUCGGCUAACUCCGUGCCAGCAGCCGCGGUAAUACGGAGGAUCCGAGCGUUAUCCGGAUUUAUUGGGUUUAAAGGGAGCGUAGGUGGAUUGUUAAGUCAGGUGUGAAAGUUUGCGGCUCAACCGUAAAAUUGCAGUUGAAACUGGCAGUCUUGAGUACAGUAGAGGUGGGCGGAAUUCGUGGUGUAGCGGUGAAAUGCUUAGAUAUCACGAAGAACUCCGAUUGCGAAGGCAGUUCACUGGACUGCAACUGACACUGAGGCUCGAAAGUGUGGGUAUCAAACAGGAUUAGAUACCCUUGUAGUC
RNAcentral lists this ribosomal RNA (460 nucleotides) under uncultured bacterium. RNAcentral describes it as "partial 16S ribosomal RNA". It matches the Rfam family "Bacterial small subunit ribosomal RNA", at positions 338 to 795 of the family's 1533-position model. The record is from RNAcentral.